AAAGAAUGGAAAAUGCAUUUAAAGCUUUAAAAUGCCUUCUGGGAGUUCGUGCACAUCCUGGAUUCCUGGAUGUGGGUGCCACAGCAUUCCCAGUGUGACAAGCGAAGGGGAAGAGACAUAUGCAUACGCAGGAGAACACGAGGCCCGAGCCCGCCUCGCACACGCGGCACGCCUCGCAGCGCCCAGUCGUCUCAUCCUGGUAGUAGCCGUAGGCGCAGCGGCACACGGCGUCGUCGGCCUCCACGCAUGGCGCCGACAUGCUCUGGAGCCCCACGCACUCGGUGCACGGCUUGCACGGCUCGGUCGCGCUCACCACGUCGGAGAACGUCACGCCUGAGCGCAGCGGACACCAGAUUUAGUCGUCUGCUCUUUUGGGCACCCGGGACGCAGGAGCUGGAGUCUCUCCCUCCCCCAUUGCCUGCCAGGACGCUGACUUCCUCCUUCAGCCUUCUCAUCGGCUCCCACCCUCUUCCAAGGGACCCUGACCCCUAGCCUGUGAAAGUUGGUGGCAGCCAACUGGGAAAGCGGGAGGAGGCCCGGAGCCGCAUCCUCCAGGCUCCAGAAGCACUGGCCGGCCGGGAGGCUUUCCGGCAUAACCCAGCUGGUGCCGCUAAGUUUCUUGGCAAAUUCUCUUUGAGAGUUCCCAGGCCUGUACUAUGUUCCCAGAAUGAUUAAGGAAUAAUCCGAACGUGGUUCCCACCCAGCCCUCCCCGCGGGCCAGAGCUGGGCUGCUAACCCAGUCCAGGCAAGGUAGGCCUUCCCCUAGGGAGCCUCCUGCCUCAUCUGCCUUCAGUUCCUCUCCACACAGGUGUGGGCUCAGAUGCAGCCUGAAUGGGAGUGACCGGGGUUAGACAGCAGAGUUUCCCACCCAUGGCACUACCCCCACGCUGCUGAAGGGCUUGGAUCCUGAGGGUGGGGACGGACCUGCAGGCAAGAGGGCUCAGGUAAGGCAGGAGCCACUGAAGCUAGAGAGCU
Molecule: non-coding RNA, 975 nt
Filed under: Pan troglodytes (chimpanzee)
Lineage: Eukaryota; Metazoa; Chordata; Mammalia; Primates; Hominidae
Source: RNAcentral